UUAUAUUACCAAGGCUUUGUCUGGAAGGUCAUAUUUGGGAGAGAUAUGCAUAGACUCAGAUAUGACCAGACAGCUUUAAGGAACUAAAUUUGAUUACAUU
Long non-coding RNA from Lynx canadensis (Canada lynx), 100 nucleotides. RefSeq lists it as uncharacterized. The record is from RefSeq and is a predicted model, not a curated record. Lineage: Eukaryota; Metazoa; Chordata; Mammalia; Carnivora; Felidae. The transcript is spliced from 3 exons.